CACCGCCGCGCCCGGGGCUGCCGCAGCUGCCCGCGGCCCCGCCUGCUGCCGCCGCCGCCGAGGCGUGCGGAGAGGCCGGCAGGAGGCGGCCCGGCUAGGCCGGCGCGGCCCCGGGAGCUGCGGGCGGGGAAAAGGGGGCCUCGUGGCGGCAGGACCCGCCCGGUGCGCCGGGCAAGAUGGCAGCGUCCAGCCGGGCCCAGGUGCUGCGGCUGUACCGGGCCCUGCUGCGGGAGAGCCAGCGCUUCGGCGGCUACAACUACAGAAUGUAUGCCAUCAGGAGGAUAAGAGAUGCCUUCAGAGAAAACAAGAAUAUAAAGGAUUCUGAAAAAAUAGAAGAACUAGUGAAUAAAGCCAAAGCAAACCUUGAGGUUAUUCAUCGGCAGGCUACAUGACAUUCUUCGUUGUCAAAACACUGACUCUUUGUUGUCCUAUGACAUCCCAAUAUUUAGCAUACUAGCGAGACUGAAUUCUUGUAGAACAAAUUAAGGCAAGUCAGGUUACCAUUGGGCAACUGUAUUCCACGCAGAAAUUGGUUAUUGAGAGUCCAGGAAACACAUAGUUAUGAGAAAACUCUGAUCCUGAAGCAACACUGGACCAUCUUCAGCAUCCUACAGUGCCACAUACAGAUGCAUAAACUCACUGCACAUGUCUGAGCUUUUCUGUUCAGCAGAUGAAAAGCCUGGGAGACUCAGUUUUUUGGCAACCAAAGUACUAUUUUCUAAUGGUUCACAUGUUCUAAAAUAUAUUGCUGUGAUUUAUAAUAUCAUGUCAGGUAGUCUUGAAAUCUGUUUGCUUGAAUGUCCCAUGUGAUUAAAUAGUUCCUGCCCUACUCUAUAAUACAAUAAAAUUUCAUUAAACUACCUGUAAACAAAUACAUUAUUCUGCUCCUGACCUCUUCUCUGAGCAUAAAGGAUGUGUUAGAUUUGAAACCCCUCACCCAGUUACUAAGGCUAAGUUAUUUUUGGUUAUGUUUAAUUUUAAAAUAUACAACAUCUGAAUUAAAUUACUAAAUACCUAGUUAAUUUUUAAUAUUAAGCCCAGAGAUGAACCAAGUUUUUGUCUCCUGGACCCUGAUACUUAAAAAUUUCACAAGCUGCACUGUGUCAUUUCUUUAAAGAGCAUCCCUUGACAUUUCAGGAGGUGACAUAAAAAUUUCACCAAUUCUUUCUUUAGUUUCCAAGAGUUAAUGUCCAGUCUCAUCCUCCUUUUAACAAUUAACAGAACAGAGUAGCAGACUGGAAGACUUGCAUCACUCAGGUUUGGGAGCUUUAAAAUAUAUUUUGACCACCAAUUCCCUUUCCAAAUUUAUUGAGGUGCAGGUAUUAGCAGAAAGCACCACAUCAGUUUAUGCAGGGUUUCCCUUUUUCACAAAGUUCAUUAAUUUUGCAGGAGAUAAAGAACCUUAUGGUGACAAUAAUGCAAGUGCAGUAAGUCAUAAUUUGGCAGCAAGCUUUGCCUAACAAAGUGGAACACUCAGUAUAGCUCUUAAUUGCUUACUAUUAAAUCUGUAGAAUGACCAACACUUUUAAAUCAAUGUUUAAAAACAAACAAAAUGUUUGAUUGUGUGCUGUUCAAGUCAUUGCUGUGCUUGGGUUUGUUUUCUGAUGCAGAAAAAUUAAGCAGCGAGAAGCUUUUUUAAUGGCAUACAGAAAAAGCUUCCUUUAUUUUUUUUCAUGGGAUUGUUGUGGGGUUUUUUAAGAAGAGAAACAAAUUCAAAACUAGUUCCAUGACACUGUGGCUUUAACCCCCCUGUAUUUUUUUUUUGCUUUCCAAAAUUCAUCUUUGUUAAGAAGGUCUAUUGUUUUGUGUUGUCUGUGCUGUGUAAUAACAUUAUUAAAGUAGAGGAUAGACAAAGUGUCUAAUUUAGAACAAACCCCCAUUCCUCGCUACCAUUUAAAGUGUAUUUUAUAAUUUUGUACAGUUAGAUUGAAAUGUGUAGCAAUGCAUUCUAUUAACAAUAUAGUGUACAGAAUAAGCUUCUGUGACUACCUGAGACUACAAAUGUAGCCUCCAUCCUCGUUGUAAAAUAAAAGGCAAAUAAAGUAAUAAUUUUCCUUA
Molecule: RNA transcript, 2058 nt
Organism: Apus apus (common swift)
Lineage: Eukaryota; Metazoa; Chordata; Aves; Apodiformes; Apodidae
Gene: LYRM4
Gene name: LYR motif containing 4
Exons: 4
Source: RefSeq, a predicted model, not a curated record